Molecule: RNA transcript, 5822 nt
Organism: Mustela lutreola (European mink)
Lineage: Eukaryota; Metazoa; Chordata; Mammalia; Carnivora; Mustelidae
Gene name: protein CutA homolog
Exons: 4
Source: RefSeq, a predicted model, not a curated record
GGCGCCGUUCGGUGGGUCGCGGAGGCCGACUUUCCGGUCGGCUUGCGUAUUUCCCUUAGAGAGCGAAGGCGCGUCAGAUGCCCGGCAAGCGGAGUGGUGACUAUGAGGACCCACAGAAGGUUAAACGGCCUCGCGGGCGGCCUCCCGGCCCCAAAGCCGGGCUGUCGGCUGCGGCGAGGGCGGCGGUGGUGGAGGCCGCCGCGGCUUGGGCAGCGGCCGAGGCCACCCCAGGCGGCGCGGAGGCCAUGGGCAUCCUGCUCCCGGGCCAGACAGGAAUCAAGAGGAGGCGGAGGGUCAUGCCUCUGGAAGACAAGAUGAAAAUUCUCGAGAAGCUGGAAGAAGGCGUGAGUAACACCGACGUGGGGCGCCUGUUUGGCGUCCACGAGUCAACCGUGCGCACCAUUAAGAAAAACGAGAAGGCCAUCAGGGCCAGCAUGGAGAGUGUUUCGCCUGUCUGCUCCAAGGUGUUGUGCAUUCCCCGGGACGUCAACAUCGAGAAGAUGGAAACCGAGUUAACCUUUUGGGUGGAGGACCAGACCAUAGGGGGCCGGCCUCUGACGCUGAAGGCCAUCUGCAGCCAGGCCAAACGCAUUUACAAGCAGCUGGUGGAAACCACUGGCAACGGCAACCCGGAUAAGUUUCAUGCGAGCAAGGGAUGGUUUGAGAAGUUUAGAAAUCGCUACAGCCUGCGAAAUUCGAGGUUGAUGGGAGAGGAAGAACCGUUAAAUGCCCAGUCGGCGCCCAAGUAUUCCAAACAACUCCAGAGACUGAUCAGGGCCAGGGGCUAUGUGCCUCAACAGGUCUUCAACGCCGAGGAGAUGAGCCUGUUUUGGAAGUGCAUGCCCUCACGUACUUUUAGGGAAAAAGACAAAAAUCCCGAAAGCUUAGAGGAAGCCAAGGACAGGAUUUCCCUCAUUUUUUGUGCCAACGCUGCCGGUGACAAAAUGAUAAAACCCUUGCUGCUUUAUAAAGACCCUAAUCCCACUUGUCUUUUGGAAAAAGAUAAAAACCGCCUUCCUGUGUUCUGGCGAUCACACCCCAAAGUAUCACUAACCACUGCCCUCUUUUUGGAUUGGUUUCAUAAUUGUUUUAUCCAUCAGGCCCGGACUUACUUAAUAGAAAAAAAUCUUGAGUUCAGAGUGUUGCUAAUUCUGGACAGAGGUCCCAAUCACCCAGACUCAUUAUUCUUUGCUCAUCCUAACGUUGAUAUUGUGUUCCUCCCUCUGGAAGGCACUAGCUAUCUUCAGCCCUUGGAUCAGGGUAUAAUUGAAGCAUUCAGGAGGUAUUACACCAAGCAUAUGUUUGACCACUUUGCUGACUGUAUUGAAAAGAACCCUUGUCUUACUUUAAAAGAAACAUGGCAACAGUACAACAUUGCCGAUGCGUUGGUAGUGAUAAAAGAGGCAAUGGAUGAUAUAAAACCGGCCGCUCUUAAUAAAGCCUGGUGGAAACUUUGGGAUGAUGUUGUGAAUGAUUAUGCAUGUUUCCCUAGAGCUAACGAAGAAGUUGCGAAAAUCAUAGAGUCUGCAAAACGGAUGGACUUUAAAUUCUUUGACAUUGAAGAGGGUGAAAUUAACGAACUGCUCAAGUUUCAAGCUUUGGCCAUAACUGAGAGAGAGUCUGUAUCAGUAAAUACGGAAGAAGACAAGUCCCCAGAACCAGAGGUUAAGAUGAAUCUAAGGAAACUGAAUGCUGUCUUACGUCAGGCUUCAGACCUCAUCGAUGCUGCAAUUGAUAUGGAUCCGUUCCUCGACCGAAGUUUGGCCUUUAAAAAAGACUUAAAUAAAUUGUUAUAUACCUAUAAAGAGGUGCAAAAGAACCUUCAGAAUAAAGCAAAGGAGUUGAAGGAAGAAAAAGACACGAACAAAGAGGUAGUGUGGAUGAAGACGAUGGAUACAGAAUCGGAAUCUGAAGAGGAGUCUGAAUCUGAAUCCGAGUCGAAAUCCGAAUCCGAGUCGAAAUCCGAAUCUGAAUCCCAUAAAGAGGAGAAAGUAGAGAGAAAGAAAGAGGAUAAGAAGCCUCCAGAAGAAGAUCCUGGAUCCUCAGGCAGUGGCACUGAGACUCUCACUAUAUCUGAAGAAUCUGCCAAAGCCAUAAAUGCAGAAUUGGACUUUUGGAAUCUAACCUUGGAACUGAAUCUGGAGAGAGUAGACGUGCCUGAACUAAAGGAAGAAGAGAAUCCAGAGGCAUUUCUUUCCAAAUGACAGUUCAUCUCUUGCCAUUCUUCCCCUGUUGCCCCAACAUCUACCUUCAUCAUGACCAUCCUUAUCAUCACCAGCCACACAUCCAUAUCAUUUAGUCAUUCAACAAACAGUAAUUGAGUAUAAGCUCUGUGGGGUCCUGUGCUAAACUUGGGGACAUCAUCUCAGGAAAUCAUCUCAGGAUCUAAGAUCCUGACAACUGCUUUCCUGUCAUACCCCAUGCUCAGGACCCUUAGCCUGCAGCUCCGUUCAGCUGUCGCUGGCAGCUAUGUCUCCGGCACUUACUCCAUCGUCUUUGUCAACUGUCCCAAUGAGCAAAUUGCUAGAGAUAUCGCCAGGUACUUUUGGAAUGGAGAAAUCGAAGAAGCCACUGAGAUCCUGUUGGUUGGUGCAUCCUUUUGAAAUCCCAGAAGUCUUCAGUCUUCCCAUGGACCAAGGAGACGUCCACUAUUUCAAGUGGCUGGAGGAGGGCGUGGAGGAGGACUGAGGGCGGCGGGGCUUUUGUGUCUCCUGAUGGCUGCCUCUAGCCUGCAGCAGCUGCGCUCUGGGGAAGGGGGGCCGCUCUCUGCUUCCUAGAGCCCCUGGAUUCUGUGUUUUUGUCAGCAUGGAAGAACUGGGACUUGAGCUGAAGGUCUGAGCCCCUGAAGCUGGAAGAACCCAGUGGAAUUUGUCUCAAGUGCUUCAGGCUUAAAGGUGGCCAGGGGCGGGUGGGAAGGCAAGCACAGCUAUGUGGGGAGGCCAAGGGGAGGUGGCGCUCAGGGUGAGGUUUGUCGUCUGCUCCUUCCGUCACUGGGCCUACCUAAGUGUCCAGGAUGCAUGGACUCUCCUGCUUCUCAGGAGGAGAAGCCUGGUGACCUGUUCACCUGAAGUGUGUGGGAGGAGUGUCGCCUUCUAGGGGAACUGGCAAGCGCUUUAGCCAAAAGGAUGAAUUGCUAAUGGUAGAAAUUCAGGGACAAGCAGGAUUAUUUCUUGCAACUAAAGAUGCUCUUUGUUAUUCCUGAGUCCCGAGGGGCUUCAUGAGUGUGGGUAGGACUGGGGAAUAUUAGGUAUUAGACACAGCCCCACGGCUUAGAAGCAGGUCUAGACUCCCCCAUAGCCUGAAUGUGACAGGUAUCUGAAGGUUCUGGUACCUUGCUCUUUGGAGACAUAGAUUCUGAGCCCACGGUACUAACCUUGUCACAUGAGUGUUGAAACUGAGCAUCCUAAAGUGGAAGGCCCGCUGGGGACCUGCCUGACCAGUGUUUUCCAGACUUGUUCCCUUGGGCCUUAGGGGUUGGUGGAAGGUAUCCUGGGUGCUUCCUGGGUGGGGGCAAGGGUAUGAGGCUCCCCACCCGUACCUCAACCUCCUCACCCAUACCUCAACUACCUUUCAUCGUUUUUAUAUAUUAAGCCCCCUUGUAAGAUUUUUGUUUUUUGUUUUUGUUUAAAUUUUCUUGGUUAACAGCUAGUAAACCAGUGGUCUAAACCAGUCUCCCAUUUUAUAGAUUACCAAAGGGAAUUGGAACUGCACUGAGGUCCAGCAAGGGGCUGGCGUGUUGCGUUAAGGAUGGUAAGAUCAAGACUGCUCACCCCGUGUCUGGUACUUCUCUGCCUGCUCCUGGGUCUCAGGUGGAAGAGGGCAGAGAAGGCAGGGCCUGUUGGGGUGAGAAGAAAGACUUGAGCUAAGCCUCCUCCAUGAAUCUGUCAACAAGGUAACCUCGCUCUGGGGAGACGCAGGGGCAGUUUGGAUGGGAGUCCACAGACCUCUGUGGAAUCCUGGAUCUUCCCAGAGGGAAGGGUAUUUAUUGCCAGGCUGUAGUUCUGACUUGUGCUGUACUUCUUAAACCUAAGUUCCUCCAAAUACAAAAUGGAGGCCCUCCCAGGGCCCUUCUGUGAAGCCCUUAUUGGGACUUAAGGCUGAUGCUAUUCCAAAGAUCCAGAGGAUCCUUUUUUGAUAGCCAGUGGGGAUUUUGGAGCUGCCUAAGGAGGACAGAGAAUGAUAAUGGUGAUGUCCAUUUUUACAACAGAUGUUUCUGAUACACGGGAAAAUCUUAAACCUUAGUGAAAAUGCUUUGGGGGCCACAGAGGGAUUGCCUCUCUUGCUUUCGGGUUAGAGCCCAGAUUCCUGGUCUGGCCUUCAAGGCCCUUCAUAGUCUUGCCUCACCUCACUUUUUCCAACUUCACCUUCCACUUCUCCGUGCCCACGCUGGCAAGGAGAUGGCUCCAAUGUGCUGUGUGAAGUGAUUCCUGUGUUCAGGCCUCCCCUCAACCCGGAGUGCCUCCUGCAUGAAUGCCUGGGAAAUCUGGCUGCUCCUUGUGAGGCCGGCUCCCCCGCUUGGAAGGAAGCUCUCCGGCCUCGGUGUCCCCGUUACCCUCGUGUAUCAUAGUCAGCCUCCUGUUUCUAGAUCGUGAGCUGCUCAAGGUCAAGGGCAUGUCUCGAUCUAUUUGAUCUCUUGCACAGGAUUUGGCUAGUAUGUCCCAAAUGGAUGUUUCAAGGAUUUGAAUAAAGCUUUCUCUGUAGCCCACAGCUACUAAUUUAUGGAAUUGGCAAAACCCAGCAUUUUUUCUUUGAACUUCCUUAAAGUGGGACUAAUUCCAAAGGAGAUUUUUCUAUUUCUGGCCUUCACCGGGCCAUUUUCUGUGCUAUGCACAGAAAACUGCUUCUCGGUGAACUUCCUCUGCCUCAGUGUCACAGCUGGCUACAGGAAAUGGGAGAGGAGAGGACAAAUGUCCGCUCUCUGCCUAGUGCUCUCCUAGAUUCUCCUCAUUAUUUUAUCCUUCUAAUUCAGUGUUCUCAGCUGGUAACUGACUUUUGAGAUCAGAGAGCAUGACACUUAAAAUACUUGGCUGAGCUAGGCUGUGAACCCACGUGUCCAAUUCUUGAUCUGACGCUCUUACGGUCUCCUUCAGAGAGGUUGGACAUAUCCCUUUAUAGGCCAAACAACUAGAGAGCCUACUGUAGCCAACUCUAAAUGAAGGGUUAUUGGGUCCAAAAACAUUCAUGCAGUAAGUUGGUCUGGCACUUAAAAAUAUAUGGUAUUGUUUCCUUCUCCCCACAGAUCUGGAGGCUGGUGACAGGAUCUAAUUCUGUAGAUGAGGGAACAGAUCUAGGGGAGUUCAGUGAUUUUUCCCAUCUGCGUGACUCCCAGCUUACUUACCCUAGACCACACUGUCCCCGCAGAGUGCUGCUGUGGGCUGGGCUCGGCCCUAGACUAGCAGCUUCAUACAGGAAUGCCUUCCCAGCAUUUCUCAGGAAAAGUCUGUUUUGAAUCCAGACUCUCCAGAAAAAAUCACUUGAGAAAAUGAGAAAAAAAUAUUAAAAUUAUCUGUGAAUACUAAAGCUUUAAAGCAUAGAGAUGUUAACUGGCUUGAAGAAAUCAUCAGAUUAAAAAUAAAGAGCAGGAAACACCAGCGUGCAGAGUUGAGGGAGAAAGGAACCAGGAUGGGAGCGCAGGGGAGAAAUGAGUCAGUCUUGGGUUGUUGCUGUGUCCCAGGUGUGUCUGUCUAGCUGUGUCUGCUGCAAACUGUGAGUUAUUUUUGCAUAUAACUUUAUGCACAUAGUAUACUUUAAACAAAUUCUGUGAGCUUUGUUUGAAGACACUAACUUUGGAAGCAAAAUAAAUUUUAACUGAGCAAUUUUGA